UAGGGAAUCUUCGGCAAUGGGGGGAACCCUGACCGAGCAACGCCGCGUGAGUGAAGAAGGUUUUCGGAUCGUAAAGCUCUGUUGUUAAGGAAGAACGUGUGUGAGAGUGGAAAGUUCACACAGUGACGGUACUUAACCAGAAAGGGACGGUUAACUACGUGCCAGCAGCCGCGGUAAUACGUAGGUCCCGAGCGUUGUCCGGAUUUAUUGGGCGUAAAGCGAGCGCAGGCGGUUAGAUAAGUCUGAAGUGAAAGGCAGUGGCUCAACCAUUGUAGGCUUUGGAAACUGUUUAACUUGAGCGCAGAAGGGGAGAGUGGAAUUCCAUGUGUAGCGGUGAAAUGCGUAGAUAUAUGGAGGAACACCGGUGGCGAAAGCGGCUCUCUGGUCUGUAACUGACGCUGAGGCUCGAAAGCGUGGGGAGCGAACAGGAUUAGAUACCCUGGUAGUCCACGCCGUAAACGAUGAGUGCUAGGUGUUAGGUCCUUUCCGGGACUUAGUGCCGCAGCUAACGCAUUAAGCACCCCGCCUGGGGAGUACGACCGCAAGGUUG
Molecule: ribosomal RNA, 550 nt
Filed under: uncultured bacterium
Lineage: Bacteria
Description: bacterial SSU rRNA
Rfam family: Bacterial small subunit ribosomal RNA
Source: RNAcentral